CCUACGGGAGGCAGCAGUGAGGAAUAUUGGUCAAUGGACGAGAGUCUGAACCAGCCAAGUAGCGUGAAGGAUGACUGCUCUAUGGGUUGUAAACUUCUUUUAUAAAGGAAUAAAACGAGGCACGUGUGCCUUGUUGCAUGUACUUUAUGAAUAAGGAUAGGCUAACUCCGUGCCAGCAGCCGCCGUAAUACGGAGGAUCCGAGCGUUCUCCGGAUUUAGUGUGUUUAAAGGGCGCGUAGAUGGGUUGUUAAGUCAGUUGUGAAAGUUUGCGGCUCAACCGUAAAAUUGCAAUUGAUACUGGCAGUCUUGAGUAUAGGUGAGGUAGGUGGAAUUCGUGGUGUAGCGGUGAAAUGCUUAGAGAUCACGAAGAACCCUGAUUGCGAAGGCAGCUUACUAAACUGUGACUGACAUUGAUGCUCGAAAGUGUGGGUAUCAAACAGGAUUAGAUACCCUUGUAGUC
Molecule: ribosomal RNA, 460 nt
Filed under: uncultured bacterium
Lineage: Bacteria
Description: partial 16S ribosomal RNA
Rfam family: Bacterial small subunit ribosomal RNA
Source: RNAcentral